Long non-coding RNA from Peromyscus eremicus (cactus mouse), 1276 nucleotides. RefSeq lists it as uncharacterized. The record is from RefSeq and is a predicted model, not a curated record. The transcript is spliced from 5 exons. NCBI's taxonomy places the organism in Eukaryota, Metazoa, Chordata, Mammalia, Rodentia, Cricetidae.
GUGGCUCACGCCUUUAAGGACCUGGAGGGCGGUACAUACAGGCAGUGACAAGGCAGUCACGAGUUUAGUUUACAACCAAUGAGAAGGCAGAACAUCUAGACUAUCUAAAGACAUAUACACAGAAAGAGGCCCUUUUUUCAGAGAGCUCUCUUGGCUGAAGCAGGAUAGCUGAAGCAGGAAGGGUAAGGCUCUUAGUUCUGACCUCUUGGCUUUCUUCUCUGAAUCGGCUCUGUGUUUCUUAUUUAAUAAGAUGGUUGGUUACAUCUACAGGUGUUCUCUAGUUUGUUGGUGUUUUUUUCAUGCAGGCUGUUGGGAGGACCCACUGUCUAUGGACACUUUUUUCUGUUCCAUGGAUCUGUGCCCCUGGAGGGAAUUUUGUGUGAUGACACCUGGAAUGUUGUGGGAAAUCCAUAAGGACAGACACGGUGGGUGUGUGCUGCAGGCAUCCUGGAGUUAAGAGUGAGAAUUGCUUCUUGUCCCUCAGCUUCUAUGUUGCCUGUCCUCGGUCCACUUGAAUCUCUUGAGAGAGCUGAGUCCUGUGUGUGCCUAGGCCCUGCCACAGGUAGGGCCCUGGACGCCCUGCCUGUUCAGAAGAGACUGUGGAUGUCCCCGAGCCUUGUGGUCCCUGCUUCGGAUGAUGUGGGGCACAUCCAUCUGAACGCUCAUCACUACCAAGUCCAAGGUUUUGGAAGGAAGCCCUUCUCCUCUCCCAUCUCAGUAUUAGACCAUCGGACCUUGGGACACGAGACUCAGGCCGCUGACUCUGCAUCCCUCACAAGUGCACAGAGCUGCCUGCCCUUUUGCCUUGUGUCCAUCCUGGAGCGGCCUUCUGCCAGCUUCUAUGUUGCCUGUCCUCGGUCCACUUGAAUCUCUUGAGAGAGAUGAGUCCUGUGUGUACCUAGGCCCUGCCACAGGGACCUGGACACCCUGCCUGUUGAGGCAAGGUUGUGGAUGUCCCGGGCCUUAGUGGUCUAUGCUUCGCAUGAUGUGGGGCAGCAUCCAUCUGAACGCUCAUCACUACCAAGGCCAAGGUUUUGGAAGGAAGCCCUUCUCCUCUCCCAUCUUAGUAUUAGACCAUCGGACAUUGGGACACGGGACUCAGGCCGCUGACUCUGCAUCCCUCACAAGUGCACACAGCUGCCUGCCCUUUUGCCUUGUGUCCAUCCUGGAGCGGCCUUCUGCCAGAUUGUAUGUUACCUGUCCUCGGUCCACUUGGAAUCUCUUGAGAGAGCCGAGUCCUGUGUGUUCCUAGGCCCUGUCACAGGUAGGUGGGUGU